GAAAUGCGAUAAGUAAUGUGAAUUGCAGAAUUCAGUGAAUCAUCGAAUCUUUGAACGCACAUUGCGCCCCUUGGUAUUCCGGGGGGCAUGCCUGUUCGAGCGUCAUUACAACCCUCAAGCUAUGCUUGGUUAUGGGCCGUGCCGGCAACGGCUGGCCCCAAAAUUAGUGGCGGCGCCAUCGUGCUCUCAGCGUAGUAAUUUUUCUCGCUGUUGGGUCCCGGUGGACGCUGGCCAGCAACCCCCAAUUUUCUAUGGUUGACCUCGGAUCAGGUAGGGAUACCCGCUGAACUUAA
This 293-nucleotide unclassified non-coding RNA is filed under the name uncultured Chalara. RNAcentral describes it as "sequence contains ITS1". The stretch from base 1 to 105 matches the Rfam family "5.8S ribosomal RNA", at positions 50 to 154 of the family's 154-position model. Lineage: Eukaryota; Fungi; Ascomycota; Leotiomycetes; Helotiales. The record is from RNAcentral.